Molecule: ribosomal RNA, 465 nt
Filed under: uncultured bacterium
Lineage: Bacteria
Description: partial 16S ribosomal RNA
Rfam family: Bacterial small subunit ribosomal RNA
Source: RNAcentral
CCUACGGGAGGCAGCAGUAGGGAAUCUUCCACAAUGGGCGCAAGCCUGAUGGAGCAACACCGCGUGAGUGAAGAAGGGUUUCGGCUCGUAAAGCACUGUUGUUGGAGAAGAACGGGCGUGAGAGUAACUGUUCACGCAGUGACGGUAUCCAACCAGAAAGUCACGGCUAACUACGUGCCAGCAGCCGCGGUAAUACGGAGGGGGCAAGCGUUAUCCGGAUUUAUCGGGCGUAAAGCGAGCGCAGGCGGUUGCUUAAGUCUGAUGUGAAAUCCUCGGGCUUAACCGAAGAAGUGCAUCGGAAACCGGGAGACUUGAGUGUCGAAGAGGAGGGUAGAACUCCAUGUGUAGCGGUGGAAUGCGUAGAGAUCUGGAAGAACACCAGUGGCGAAGGCGGCUGUCUGGUCUGCAACUGACGCUGAGGUUCGAAAGCAUGGGUAGCAAACAGGAUUAGAUACCCCAGUAGUC